Clupea harengus (Atlantic herring) is the source of this 453-nucleotide long non-coding RNA. The record is from Ensembl. Lineage: Eukaryota; Metazoa; Chordata; Actinopteri; Clupeiformes; Clupeidae.
CUACGGUUUUGGGCUAAUCAUUCUAACCUUUUAGUUUUUAGCUACUCAUUCUUACCAAGUUUAGUUUUGUAAAAUAUGGCGACUGGAUACGAGAUUGUUCAGACCCUGAACAAGAAGAGGCUCCCAAACAAGUUCGAGAAUUUAGGGUACAACAGGACGUUUCUGAAUGUCGUAAUUGUGCCAAGUGUGAGCAAAUGCCUACAGAGCCUGAGAAUGGAUGCUGCAGGGAGAUGCCACAGGUAACAAGAAGACUACUGCAGCUUCCAAACCAACCAACGUGCAUCAUCCGGGACUUUUAGCUGUGUGAUUGAAUGUGUUCUCACUACAGAAUGCAUUCAACAUCUAUAAUGCAGACUAUGGGCCUUAUGUCUAAGGGGAAUAUAGCAGUAAGUUGUUUUGUUUUUUAUGCAUAUGAGUCAUCAGUGAUUUCUGCAAUACAAAUAUAACUGGGGA